UACGCUUCACCCGUGCAACUUCGUCAUGUGCUCCACGGCAGCACAAGCCUUUACGGCUGUGCCACUAUGUGUGGAAACGUCGUAGCGGAUGAAUGUGAAUUAUGGAUCUCCAAGUGGCGUCGCCCGCGUCAUUUUCAAGAUUUUACCCGUUUUGAAGGUACGUAGUGAAUGUGCGAGGCAUUCACGUUCCUACUACGUGGUUAUCCAUGCGUUUCCCGUCUUCGCAGGCAAUAGGGCUGUUGAUAGGCAGAAUGCUAGGCUACUGCAGACUGCAACCAUAGGCGCUGUGUCUAAAGGUUAAGCUCACAUGACGCGGCAGGGAAGGGAGUCCGUGGCGAAAAGUGAAUAUAGCCGAAGUUGGAUAGCGUUAAUUUUUGCGCACGAAAGGCAAGCUGGACACAUCGCAAAUCUCCAGUUGUACGAA
Ornithodoros turicata is the source of this 424-nucleotide long non-coding RNA. RefSeq lists it as uncharacterized. NCBI's taxonomy places the organism in Eukaryota, Metazoa, Arthropoda, Arachnida, Ixodida, Argasidae. The record is from RefSeq and is a predicted model, not a curated record. The transcript has 3 exons.